GACGAACGCUGGCGGCGUGCUUAACACAUGCAAGUCGAACGGAAAGGCCCUGCUUUUGUGGGGUGCUCGAGUGGCGAACGGGUGAGUAACACGUGAGUAACCUGCCCUUGACUUUGGGAUAACUUCAGGAAACUGGGGCUAAUACCGGAUAGGAGCUCCUGCUGCAUGGUGGGGGUUGGAAAGUUUCGGCGGUUGGGGAUGGACUCGCGGCUUAUCAGCUUGUUGGUGGGGUAGUGGCUUACCAAGGCUUUGACGGGUAGCCGGCCUGAGAGGGUGACCGGCCACAUUGGGACUGGGAUACGGCCCAGACGCAUACGGGAGGCAGCAGUGGGGAAUAUUGCACAAUGGGCGGAAGCCUGAUGCAGCAACGCCGCGUGCGGGAUGACGGCCUUCGGGUUGUAAACCGCUUUCGCCUGUGACGAAGCGUGAGUGACGGUAAUGGGGAAAGAAGCACCGGCGAACUACGU
Molecule: ribosomal RNA, 467 nt
Filed under: uncultured bacterium
Lineage: Bacteria
Description: partial 16S ribosomal RNA
Rfam family: Bacterial small subunit ribosomal RNA
Source: RNAcentral